This 298-nucleotide long non-coding RNA is filed under the name Malus domestica (apple). Its description in RNAcentral is "long non-coding RNA (MDOM_LNC017285)". The record is from RNAcentral. Lineage: Eukaryota; Viridiplantae; Streptophyta; Magnoliopsida; Rosales; Rosaceae.
CUUGCCUUGAUUGGGAACCUUUGCUUUACGCUUUUUGUGCUGGGAGUGUUGAUCUUUACUAUCAUUGCCGCCACCUAUGAACCCGAAGACCCGUUGUUUCACCCGUCAACCAAGAUCACCACAUUCCUCACAUCCAAAUCCAAUGCCACUUUCAAGUCCGAUGACACUGUGGUCCGGACUGGUGAGAAUUUCUUGGCUCCCAAUCAAACAGAGAUUGGAAAUUUUAUCAAUAUGACUGAUGUUGUUAACUUGAGCGAGGGCGAUAAGUCGACCACUGAGAAUUCUGAAGCAGAAUCUG